This 615-nucleotide ribosomal RNA is filed under the name Triticum aestivum (bread wheat). RNAcentral describes it as "partial small subunit ribosomal RNA". The record is from RNAcentral. Lineage: Eukaryota; Viridiplantae; Streptophyta; Magnoliopsida; Poales; Poaceae.
AUGGAGCAGGUGGCCGGCCAAGAAGCGCAGUCCACAAAGAAACCGGCCGUGAAGGUGACGCUCCGGCGGUUCGGCCUCCACGACGUGGACGCCAUGAUGGCGUGGGCGUCGGACCCGCAGGUGGCCGCCCCCUGCCGCUGGGAGCCCUACGAGUCCACGGAGCCCCUGCUCGCCUUCAUCCGGGACGCCGUGCUGCCGCAUCCCUAGUUCUGCGCCAUCUGCCUCGCCGGCGACGACCGCCCCGUCGGCGCGAUCUCCGUGUCGCCGACGGACGACGCCCGCCGCACGGAGCUCGGGUACGUGCUGGCGCGCGAGCACUGGGGGAAGGGCGUGGCCGCGGCGGCCGUGUGCAGGGCGGUGGCCGCGGUGUUCAGCGAGGUGGAGGGGCUGCAGCGCGUGGAGGCGUUGGUGGACGUGGCGAACGUGGUGUCGCAGCGGGUGCUGGAGAAGGCCGGGUUUCGGCGGGAGGCUGUGAUGAGGCGGUACUCCGUGCUCGAGGGCGCCGUCAAGGACAUGGUCAUCUUCAGCUUCAUCUCCACCCGACACUGUGCUGGUCGAAUGAUUGGUGUGAUAAUUCAGCUUGAUGUAUAUCCACGCGAAAAGAAAAUUUCAUAA